This 686-nucleotide ribosomal RNA is filed under the name uncultured bacterium. RNAcentral's name for it is "bacterial SSU rRNA". It matches the Rfam family "Bacterial small subunit ribosomal RNA", at positions 8 to 683 of the family's 1533-position model. The record is from RNAcentral.
AGAGUUUGAUCCUGGCUCAGAUUGAACGCUGGCGGCAGGCUUAACACAUGCAAGUCGAACGGUAACAGGAGAAAGCUUGCUUUCUUGCUGACGAGUGGCGGACGGGUGAGUAAUGCUUGGGAAUCUGGCUUAUGGAGGGGGAUAACGACGGGAAACUGUCGCUAAUACCGCGUAGAGUCGAGAGACGAAAGUGCGGGACCGCAAGGCCGCAUGCCAUGAGAUGAGCCCAAGUGGGAUUAGGUAGUUGGUGGGGUAAAGGCCUACCAAGCCGACGAUCUCUAGCUGGUCUGAGAGGAUGACCAGCCACACCGGGACUGAGACACGGCCCGGACUCCUACGGGAGGCAGCAGUGGGGAAUAUUGCGCAAUGGGGGCAACCCUGACGCAGCCAUGCCGCGUGAAUGAAGAAGGCCUUCGGGUUGUAAAGUUCUUUCGGUGACGAGGAAGGUUGUUGUGUUAAUAGCGCAACAAAUUGACGUUAAUCACAGAAGAAGCACCGGCUAACUCCGUGCCAGCAGCCGCGGUAAUACGGAGGGUGCGAGCGUUAAUCGGAAUAACUGGGCGUAAAGGGCACGCAGGCGGCUAUUUAAGUGAGGUGUGAAAUCCCCGGGCUUAACCUGGGAAUUGCAUUUCAGACUGGGUAGCUAGAGUACUUUAGGGAGGGGUAGAAUUCCACGUGUAGCGGUG